RNAcentral lists this ribosomal RNA (255 nucleotides) under uncultured bacterium. RNAcentral describes it as "partial 16S ribosomal RNA". It matches the Rfam family "Bacterial small subunit ribosomal RNA", at positions 524 to 776 of the family's 1533-position model. The record is from RNAcentral.
UACGUAGGGAGCAAGCGUUGUUCGGAUUUACUGGGCGUAAAGGGCGCGUAGGCGGCCACCGCAAGUCAGUUGUGAAAUCUCUGGGCUUAACCCAGAACGGUCAGCUGAUACUGCGGGGCUAGAGUGCAGAAGGGGCAACUGGAAUUCUCGGUGUAGCGGUGAAAUGCGUAGAUAUCGAGAGGAACACCUGCGGCGAAGGCGGGUUGCUGGGCUGACACUGACGCUGACAGCGCGAAAGCUAGGGGAGCGAACGGG